UAAUGCCCCUUUUCUAUUUAAUGCCCCUCCUUAGAGUACCCAAGAUUGAGGUUGAGACUCAUAAAGUAAGGUCUCCUGAUGUUGUGGUACCCACUCUUGAUACAGUGAGACACGAGAGUCUCCUCUAUACAUGGUUGGGGGAGCAUAAGCCGAUGGUACUGUGUGGUCCACCUGGCUCUGGUAAAACCAUGACACUGUUCUCUGCUUUUCAUGCACUGCCUGAUUUUGAAGUUGUUGGUCUUAAUGUCUCAUCAGCCACUACCCCUGAGCUAUUAUUAAAGAGGUUUGAUCAUUACUGUGAGUACAAGAGGACUCCCAAUGGAGUUGUGAUGGCUCCUUCUCAACUCGGAAAGUGGCUGUUUCUCUUCUGUGACGAGAUUAACCUUCCAGACCUUGACAAAUAUGGUACUCAGAGAGUAAUAUCGUUCUUACGUCAGAUUGUCGAGGACGGUGGAUUUUACAGAACCUCCGAUCACACGUGGGUGACAAUAGAGAGGAUACAGUUUGUAGGAGCGUGUAACCCACCAACUGACUGGGGAAGGAAACCACUGUCUCACAGCUGUGAAGGAAAUUAAGAAACUCCACCUGGUUGAAGUGAGGGCUCUGAACAACCCAUCAGGUCAUCAAGAUGGCACUGGAAAGCAUCUGCAUGCUAAUCGGAGAACCUUACACUGACUGGAAGAGUAUCAGACAGAUUAUAAUGAAGGAGAACUUUUUAUCACGCUAGUAAAACUUGUGGGCCUUUGGUGAAGUGGGCCAUUGCUCAAGACGUUGAGAGCUACGACCCAAUCCUGAACCCUGUGCUCAAUAGAGAAGUAAGGAAGACUGGAGGACG
Molecule: RNA transcript, 835 nt
Organism: Amphimedon queenslandica
Lineage: Eukaryota; Metazoa; Porifera; Demospongiae; Haplosclerida; Niphatidae
Gene name: cytoplasmic dynein 1 heavy chain 1-like
Exons: 5
Source: RefSeq, a predicted model, not a curated record